AGUCGAGCGGUAGCACAAGGAGCUUGCUCCUGGGUGACGAGCGGCGGACGGGUGAGUAAUGUCUGGGAAACUGCCCGAUGGAGGGGGAUAACUACUGGAAACGGUAGCUAAUACCGCAUAACGUCUUCGGACCAAAGUGGGGGACCUUCGGGCCUCACACCAUCGGAUGUGCCCAGAUGGGAUUAGCUAGUAGGUGAGGUAAUGGCUCACCUAGGCGACGAUCCCUAGCUGGUCUGAGAGGAUGACCAGCCACACUGGAACUGAGACACGGUCCAGACUCCUACGGGAGGCAGCAGUGGGGAAUAUUGCACAAUGGGCGCAAGCCUGAUGCAGCCAUGCCGCGUGUGUGAAGAAGGCCUUCGGGUUGUAAAGCACUUUCAGCGAGGAGGAAGGGUUCGGUGUUAAUAGCACUGUUCAUUGACGUUACUCGCAGAAGAAGCACCGGCUAACUCCGUGCCAGCAGCCGCGGUAAUACGGAGGGUGCAAGCGUUAAUCGGAAUUACUGGGCGUAAAGCGCACGCAGGCGGUUUGUUAAGUCAGAUGUGAAAUCCCCGAGCUUAACUUGGGAACUGCAUUUGAAACUGGCAAGCUAGAUCUUGUAGAGGGGGGUAGAAUUCCAGGUGUAGCGGUGAAAUGCGUAGAGAUCUGGAGGAAUCCGGUGGCGAAGGCGGCCCCUGGACAAGACUGACGCUCAGUGCGAAAGCGUGGGGAGCAACAGGAUAGAUACCUGGUAGUCCACGCUGUAACGAUGUCACUUGGAGGUGUGCCUUGAGGCGUGGCUUCGGAGCUACGCGUUAGUCGACGCCUGGGAGUACGGCGCAAGUUAAACUCAAUGAAUGACGGGGCCGCACAACCGUGGAGCAUGUGGUUAUUCAUGCACGCGAGAACUUACUACUCUUGACAUCACAGAACUUCCAGAUGAUUGUGCCUCGGG
This 934-nucleotide ribosomal RNA is filed under the name Serratia sp. (in: enterobacteria). RNAcentral describes it as "bacterial SSU rRNA". It matches the Rfam family "Bacterial small subunit ribosomal RNA", at positions 60 to 1023 of the family's 1533-position model. The record is from RNAcentral. Lineage: Bacteria; Pseudomonadati; Pseudomonadota; Gammaproteobacteria; Enterobacterales; Yersiniaceae.